This 502-nucleotide ribosomal RNA is filed under the name uncultured bacterium. RNAcentral's name for it is "partial 16S ribosomal RNA". It matches the Rfam family "Bacterial small subunit ribosomal RNA", at positions 30 to 523 of the family's 1533-position model. The record is from RNAcentral.
AUUGAACGCUGGCGGCAGGCUUAACACAUGCAAGUCGAGCGGGGUGAUGGUGCUUGCACUAUCACUUAGCGGCGGACGGGUGAGUAAUGCUUAGGAAUCUGCCUAUUAGUGGGGGACAACAUCUCGAAAGGGAUGCUAAUACCGCAUACGUCCUACGAGAGAAAGCAGGGGAUCACUUGUGACCUUGCGCUAAUAGAUGAGCCUAAGUCGGAUUAGCUAGUUGGUGGGGUAAAGGCCUACCAAGGCGACGAUCUGUAGCGGGUCUGAGAGGAUGAUCCGCCACACUGGGGCUGAGACACGGCCCAGACUCCUACGGGAGGCAGCAGUGGGGAAUAUUGGACAAUGGGGGAACCCUGAUCCAGCCAUGCCGCGUGUGUGAAGAAGGCCUUAUGGUUGUAAAGCACUUUAAGCGAGGAGGAGGCUCUUUUGGUUAAUACCCAAGAUGAGUGGACGUUACUCGCAGAAUAAGCACCGGCUAACUCUGUGCCAGCAGCCGCCGUAA